CAAAUGGAGGAGGCCAGAGGAGCACAGCAAUGAGGUGGGUUGGCACCUGAAGCCCAAGCUCCAGCCUGACUUUCUUCAAUGCUUACCCCGUUGUUUGGCUCUUUGUUUCAUUAGAAGAUGCGAAGCGCUUGGUACGGCCAGGUACUGGUACCGGGGGCACCAUGAGCCAGAUGAGUAUUGGUGGUCUGAAGCAUUCCAACCGCUGGUCCAAUAUGACAGAGGCCCUUGCGGAAAGAGGUCACGGUCAAGCGGUUUCAGAUGGAAACUAAUCCGGCAAUGCCAUGCUUUCGGACCCUAUGUCGGAAGUAAAGCCAGGUAUCACCAAUCAAUGUCAAAUGAGUGAGGUGGUCCACUUUUUUAUGCUGAAUCGCCUUGCCACCGGCUGAUGGACCCGGCUCGCCGCCAUCGUGAGCCUGUUGGAAGUAUCACGGGACUCUGUGACGGAGCCUUGACCUUUUCCAUUUGAAGGUAUGCCCUGUGACGGCGGCGUCAGACUGGGAGUGCGGCCGGAGCAUGUGGCCCGAGGGCCCUGGCCAUUUUAGGAGAUGCCAACUAAGAGACAACAGCCCGGUGACGGCAGGAACUUCCCAGAUGGCGAGGCGGCCUUCUUUCACACCUGACCUGGAUUCGCAUUCCCGGACCUCCGAGAGAUAAGUGGAGGGCUACGCCUCACAGAGGGGAUGAGAGCGAUGUGCCGGGUCAGGACUCGUCGGAAGGAUUUUUGAAUUAGCUCUGGAGACGGGGAUGUCCAAGAAAUGGCCCCUUUAGGCCACACGAUGGGAAAGUCUCACUUUUGAUCACAAUGCUGAGGCACGUAGGACAGAACAGUCCCGACGCAGAUCGAUUCUAUCUGUGGUGGAGCGCUCCAUACUAGGUGAGGGGGUUCCCACAGGAAGGAGGUAAAGCCGGAUCUCAGCAGUCAAUGUCAAGUGAGCGAGGCGGUCCACUUGCAUUACGCCGAACCCCCUCGCAGAACGGCCGACGGACCCGGCUCGCCGCCCUCGUGACCCCUCCGCAAGUAUCGCAAAGCUCUGCGAUGAAGCCUUGACCUUUUCCACGUGACGGUGCCGUCCGGGUAGCCUUCGGCAACGGCCGAGGAGUUGCGGCGAGUCGGGGAGGGAGGGAGGAGCGAGGGUCCACUCGGGUUUCAGCAAUGCCACAUGGCCUGUCUCCUCGUAGCUCAGCCGACUAAGAGACAACAGCCCGAUGACGGCAGGAGCUUCCCAGACGGUGAGCGGCCUUCUUUUGCACCUGAGGAGGAUUCGCAUCCCUGGAUGUCCGAGAGAUAAGUUGAGGGGAUGCAAGCGGGGUGUCGGGUCGGGGCUCGCCGGGAGGGAAUAUUGAGUCAGCUUCAGAGAUGGGGAUGUCUAAGAAGGGGCCCCUUUAGGGCCCCUAAAGGGCAAGUCUCCCUUUCGAUCACAGCGCUGAGGCGUGCCAGGCAGAGCAGUCCCAGUGCACGUUGUGCAGCUUGUCUAUUGUGUGUUCUGUCUCUACUGGGUGUCUCGUGUCUUCUGCUUUAGCCCUUCGAUGUGCCUGCGGUCAUUCUUCUCACCGAGAGUUUUCUCUCCUCGUUGCUUCCCCGCAUUUGUCAUCUGCUGUAUCACGGGUGCCUGUGUGGGUUUUCUCUGG
Corvus hawaiiensis (hawaiian crow) is the source of this 1629-nucleotide long non-coding RNA. RefSeq lists it as uncharacterized. Lineage: Eukaryota; Metazoa; Chordata; Aves; Passeriformes; Corvidae. The transcript has 10 exons. The record is from RefSeq and is a predicted model, not a curated record.